Molecule: long non-coding RNA, 2978 nt
Organism: Nycticebus coucang (slow loris)
Lineage: Eukaryota; Metazoa; Chordata; Mammalia; Primates; Lorisidae
Exons: 2
Source: RefSeq, a predicted model, not a curated record
GCGCGCUGCGGCGGGGAGGAGAGCGCCGCCUGAAGUCUGCGCGGGGCAGGGAAGGCUCCCCGGAAGGAGGGACGUUUCCAGGGAGACCUGGAGGAAAAUUCCAGGGGUAUGUGUGAUGGGGCCACAGUGAAGCAAUAGGAAUGAUCCUGAAGGGAAUGUUUGGCAGGGCUUCAGACCAACCCAGAAGAGCACAGUAUAACUACAUCAUUGGAGGCAAAAGAGGACAUCAGCCAAAAGGGCCGACUGGCCUUCAGAGCAGUGGUGCCCAAAGUGCUUGGAAGGAAUAGGCAUGGCCACCGAGGGACUGCACAACUCUCAGUUGGGCUUGUGGGGAAAUGGAGCAACCAUCUGGGUGGCAGCAGCCAAGGGUCCCAGCCCCAGCCUGCCACCUCCCAGAGGGACAGAGGCAACUCCACGGGAGCAGCGACGGGAAGGAGCCUCUGGUGGCCCACACACAGGUGAUCCAGAGGCCAGAGCCCUGAGCUCAUGUUCUGUUCAUGCUAAGUCACCCAAAGUCACCUGUCUCAUAACUUCACAGAAGAGAAUAAAGAAAAAACUCAGCUGACCUGCAUAACUUAGGAAAAUGAUGCUUUGGCUGGAGAUUGUAAAGCUAAGGAAGAAGGACUGUACAUAAAUACAGUACUCCACUUGAUAAAUCUGAUUUUCGUGGAGAUAAGAGCCAUGAUCCUGAAACUGCUUUGCAUGCAUCCUGAGGAUGAACAAAGAAGUAAGCGGAAGGUAGGAGUGGGAACAAGUUGCUCACUGUCGAAGGGGAAGUCACUGCUGGGCCAGGGGAGGCUAGAGUGGACCUGUGGCAUGGGGUCACAGCCAGAGAUACUAGUAUGAACUUGUGUUUGCUCAGAAGGAUAGACACAUAGGCUCAGGACAAUUACAGACACACACGUAUGUGUGGGUUAGGGUGCACACCUACAGUUCUCAGCUCUGUCCCCAAAUGGGUCUAGAAUCAAUGACACCCCAUGAGCAUUGAGCCCCCGGCGCCCUUGGAGAGCGGUUGUCUAGUAGAAGAAGCCAGCCCUCUUUGAACAAAUGGCUGUUCUAGGACUGGGGAAUGGAAAAAUACAAGAUGAGCCCGAAGUGUUUUGCAAUGCCAGAAAGUGAGUUCAAAAAAUCUAAAACGGGGAUAAGUGAAAAGGAAAGAAGCUGGCCUGAGGGGAGCCCCAGAGGCCAAAGCUGGAAUAGUUCGAGAAACAAAAUAAGACAGCACUGACUUACAGCCCAAGAAUAAAAUAAGUACAUACAGGUUUAUAUAAGUAAGCAGUGGAAUAAAUAAAUAAAUCUUUCUUAUGGAAAAUUUUAAAAUAUGAGCUGUAGAUACUCUCCCUUCCAAAAGCCUAAUCCCUCUCCCUCUCUCACUUCAGCAAAGGCUGGAUUUCACAGCUCGCUUCCAAAAAUGAGAGUACAAAAGGGAACAAUAAUAACUCUAACGUGGAGAAACGUGGCCAACACUGUCGUACCCAAGUGAUCCCCUGUAACAUCCCCAGUAAUAAGUUAUAGUAAUAGAAUAUCACGUUCUAUCAAUAUGACAUGAAAACAGCAUUUCUUACACACACACACACACACGCACACACGCAGGGAUGUGCACUGUGCAGACACUGUUCUCGGUACCAUGCAGCAUAACAAAAACCGCAGGAGAGACAGGCAGCCAGAGCCAGACCAGGCGUGGGCUCUGAGGUCAACUGAGGAGUCUGUCACUUCUGCAAGAAGUGGGGGACUUUAUUUAACUUGGUUCCAGAAUAGCAUCUGUGUCUAAAAGUUUUACGUUCCCCUUUAACACUCGGGACUGGCCAGGAUGGCAGUGCCAUCUGUCUGGGCAGCAUGCCAAGACCUCAUCUUACGUAGGUCCAGUUUGGUGGCAGCACCUUGAAAACUUUCUGGGUCUGCUCCUGGUCCUUCUACCAGCCAGGGCCCAGCAUGUCCAUUUCUCUUCUGAGCUUUCUCCAGCCUUUGUGGAGAUGUGGGGAAGCAUUUGGUACAUUCAGCACAGACCCAGGUGGGGGCUGAGGAGGGAGGGGCCGGUGAGACGGCCAGGAAUUGGAACCUGACAUUCCAGGAAGGGAAGGAACCUUUUUGCAAACACCAUACCUAAAAUGAAACUGUAAAGCACUGUUAUUAAGGGUAAGUUGCAAAAUAGCAUGUACAGUAGGAAACCAAUUCCAUAAAAUUAAAAAAACAGGGCACUAACAAAUAGGGCCAUAAAUGAGAACGUAUUAAAUUCAUAUGCAAAGCCCUGCUAGGUCCAUAAAUUCAUAUGCAGAAGUCUGCUGGGUCUUUGUAUUCACAGACAAGGGUGUGAUGUGAGUGAUCACCUCUGAGAACAGGGAAAGAGGCUGAGCACUGAGGGAUGCUGCGGCGCCACACAGGCCACUGUCCCCUUCUAACUCCUGCACACAGUCAGUUCAGUGAUCAUAGUCACGCCUUCCCCUCCCAACCCUCUUCCCACAGUGCUUCUCUGAACUUUUUUACUCUUCAGGUAUUGCUACCCCUCCACUGUCCUAAAUUUCUUCCAGGAUCACUGUUUUUUCCAAUUCAACUAACUGCUCUUUCAAUCUUCUCCAUCUCCUUUAUUCCUCACUAAUUCUUACACAAUCCCAGUAGAAAAGAAAAGCUGUGCCUUGCCUAUACCAUAGUUUUUGUUCUUUUAUUCAGAAUUAUCAUAAUAUUAAAAUGUGAUUUUGAAUGUUUUUAAUCUCUAACUCAGAAGAGCAUUUUUUAAGUUAAUUUGCCCAUUAUUAUCUAGAAAUCCUGUGCUGAAGAGGCCUAAGAGAAAACAUUGGAACUGUCGCAGCACCUGCAGAAUUUUCAGGAUGGUAACACCUUUGAAAAUAAUAGUCCCAGACAAGUAUAGGAGAUUCUUUUUUAUUUUUUUAUUAGUUGCAGCAUAGAGAAAAGAGGCCAAAUGUUUAAAGAAUGUAUGUUGCUCAGACAGGUGCUAGCUUUACACCAACAGAAAAGAAAAA